AAAGCCUCGAGCUUGUGCAACCCAGCUCUCUUACAAUCCAACACAGCCCUGGAUAAAAAGGUGUGCAAUAUCCAAGCUUUACAUCAGGUGGUUCCCCACUUCUUGAUGCCACGGUCCAAAAAUCAGGCAAGUCCACUCCAUUGGAAGUAACUAUAUAUAGUGUAGGCUCAGGGGUCCACAAUGCUUACAUGGAUGCAUGAUCAAAGCUGCUCAUCAGUUUUAUCCUCGAAGAAAAAGGGAAGAAAAAUUUGUCCACAUAUUUAUAAAAAAAUUUCCAUAGCUAUUCUCCUCCAUCUGCUAGUUACAGAUGGAGCAUUUGGGGUGGAGCAUUGGUAAUAGAGGGGGGCUUUGCUGCUUCAUAUGGGGAUGGAUAUGGACUUCAUUCGGGUGGUGUUGACAAAGGUCCUCUAUAUGCAUGAGUUCUAGUUCUUGGGGUGCAUUUGAGAAGUCUUGCCUCAAGCGUCGCUGAAGUCUGUUGAUUUAUUUUUUUCCUUCUGCUUUUUCUUGUGUCUCAAUCUGUAAAUUUUCUAUCCAUUAUGUAACCUUUCAUUUUCAGGUCCCCUGUAAAUGAGGCUGGUUGUAAAUGAUUUACAGGUUGUGUUUGAAUGCUAAUUUAAGCCUGUAAAGGUCUUUUGAUUUAGAAGAUUCAGCCUAGCAGAAUUUUUAAUUGUUUCUAUUAUUUUUUCUUUUACACUGUAAAUGAUUUAUCGGCGUUUUAAACAGAUUUUACAGGCAUUUUUUAA
Long non-coding RNA from Magnolia sinica, 743 nucleotides. RefSeq lists it as uncharacterized. Lineage: Eukaryota; Viridiplantae; Streptophyta; Magnoliopsida; Magnoliales; Magnoliaceae. The transcript is spliced from 5 exons. The record is from RefSeq and is a predicted model, not a curated record.